RNAcentral lists this ribosomal RNA (763 nucleotides) under uncultured bacterium. RNAcentral's name for it is "bacterial SSU rRNA". It matches the Rfam family "Bacterial small subunit ribosomal RNA", at positions 629 to 1392 of the family's 1533-position model. The record is from RNAcentral.
UGAACNGGGUGACUAGAGUGUGUCAGAGGGAGGUAGAAUUNCCACGUGUAGCAGAGAAAUGCGUAGAGAUGUGGAGGAAUACCGAUGGCGAAGGCAGCCUCCUGGGAUAACACUGACGUUCAUGCCCGAAAGCGUGGGUAGCAAACAGGAUUAGAUACCCUGGUAGUNCACGCCCUAAACGAUGUCGAUUAGCUGUUGGGCAGCAUGACUGCUUAGUAGCGGAGCUAACGCGUGAAAUCGACCGCCUGGGGAGUACGGUCGCAAGAUUAAAACUCAAAGGAAUUGACGGGGACCCGCACAAGCGGUGGAUGAUGUGGAUUAAUUCGAUGCAACGCGAAGAACCUUACCUGGUCUUGACAUGUACGGAACCCUCCAGAGACGGAGGGGUGCCUUCGGGAGCCGUAACACAGGUGCUGCAUGGCUGUCGUCAGCUCGUGUCGUGAGAUGUUGGGUUAAGUCCCGCAACGAGCGCAACCCUUGUCAUUAGUUGCCAUCAUUAAGUUGGGCACUCUAAUGAGACUGCCGGUGACAAGCCGGAGGAAGGUGGGGAUGACGUCAAGUCCUCAUGGCCCUUAUGACCAGGGCUGCACACGUCAUACAAUGGUCGGUACAGAGGGUAGCCAAGCCGCGAGGUGGAGCCAAUCUCACAAAACCGAUCGUAGUCCGGAUUGCACUCUGCAACUCGAGUGCAUGAAGUCGGAAUCGCUAGUAAUCGCAGGUCAGCGUACUGCGGUGAAUACGUUCCCGGGUCUUGUACACACCG